ACGGAGACCUCCAGAGCUUCGUUCCGUCCCCCUCUAGUUCUUAGUGUCAGCUUAUCGUGCAGAGGCGGGGCUUCCAGCACGGCUGCUUCUUACUAAAUCUCAACCGAGUCUUCCUUGGGGAUUGCAAGCCACACUUCGGCGGCUGCCCAACUUUUCCUGUAGGGAGCAUCAGUUUUUCCAUCCUCAAAGCCCCAGCAGACGGGGUUUGGGGAGAGCCGGGCUACCAGUAGAGAGGAAGAGCUGCCUGGGCACGGAAAGCAAAAUCAGCUUCGAGAGGCACUUUGCAAUCCUGCAAGACCGAGUUGCACGUUCACUUGCAUUGACUGGUUCGUUAAGUAUUUACAGAAUGCUCCUCAGUGUGCUCCCUUUGAGGCCUGGAGAGGAGCUGGAUAAAACGUGCCACAGAUUGGCCAAACUCAUCCAGUGUCUCCCAAUGAUGCCUUGCACAUUCCUGCCAGAGUCCAUCCUUCCAAACACUUCCUGCCCCUUUCAACCACUUUCCCACCGAGCAAGAUCUCAUCCCAGUUUUCCCUGGCUGCCCAAUUUGCUGGGGUUUUUCCUUUGAACAAUUUUAUUCUAUGCCUCGCUUGUUCGUCCAAGUAGAUUAUAAAAUACAGGAGGGCAGGAACCACCCAUUGACUUCUUUUUGUUCCCCACUCUUCCAAAAAUACCGCCUUGCAGAGAAGGAACUCAUUAAACAUGUGAUUGA
Long non-coding RNA from Balaenoptera musculus (blue whale), 709 nucleotides. RefSeq lists it as uncharacterized. The transcript is spliced from 3 exons. The record is from RefSeq and is a predicted model, not a curated record. NCBI's taxonomy places the organism in Eukaryota, Metazoa, Chordata, Mammalia, Artiodactyla, Balaenopteridae.